CUUGGUCAUUUAGAGGAAGUAAAAGUCGUAACAAGGUCUCCGUAGGUGAACCUGCGGAGGGAUCAUUACAGAGACUCUGCCCUUUGGGUAGACCUCCCACCCUGUGUCGUUAUACCUUUGUUGCUUUGGCGGGCCGCGGGGCUUAGGCCCUGCCCCUGGCUCCGGCUAGGGCGCGCCCGCCAGAGGACCUCAAAACCUGAAUGUUAGUGUCGUCUGAGUACUAUAUAAUAGUUAAAACUUUCAACAACGGAUCUCUUGGUUCUGGCAUCGAUGAAGAACGCAGCGAAAUGCGAUAAGUAAUGUGAAUUGCAGAAUUCAGUGAAUCAUCGAAUCUUUGAACGCAUAUUGCGCCCCUUGGUAUUCCGGGGGGCAUGCCUGUUCGAGCGUCAUUACAACCCUCAAGCUCUGCUUGGUCUUGGGCGUCACCGGUCCCCGGUGUGCCUUAAACUCAGUGGCGGCGCCAUCUGGCUCUAAGCGUAGUACAUACUCUCGCUACAGACGUCCGGUGGAUGCUGGCCAGCAACCCCCAAUUUAUCAAGGUUGACCUCGGAUCAGGUAGGGAUACCCGCUGAACUUAAGCAUAUCAAUAAGCGGAGGA
This 598-nucleotide ribosomal RNA is filed under the name uncultured Cryptosporiopsis. RNAcentral's name for it is "eukaryotic LSU rRNA". The stretch from base 236 to 389 matches the Rfam family "5.8S ribosomal RNA". The record is from RNAcentral. Lineage: Eukaryota; Fungi; Ascomycota; Leotiomycetes; Helotiales; Dermateaceae.